ACGGCUCAGUAACACGUAGUCAACUUACCCUAUGGACGAGGAUAAUCUCGGGAAACUGAGCAUAAUACUCGAUAGAUCAUAAUGCCUGGAAUGGUUUAUGGUUAAAAUGAUUCGUCGCCAUAGGAUGGGACUGCGGCCUAUCAGCUUGUUGGUGAGGUAAUGGCCCACCAAGGCGAUUACAGGUACGGGCUCUGAGAGGAGAAGCCCGGAGAUGGGUACUGAGACAAGGACCCAGGCCCUAUGGGGCGCAGCAGGCGAGAAAACUUUGCAAUGUGCGAAAGCACGACAAGGUUAAUCCGAGUGAUUUCUGCUAAAGAAAUCUUUUGCAAGUCAUAAAACCACUAGUGAAUAAGGGGUGGGCAAGUUCUGGUGUCAGCCGCCGCGGUAAAACCAGCACCUCAAGUGGUCAGGAGGAUUAUUGGGCCUAAAGCAUCCGUAGCCGGCUCUGUAAGUUUUCGGUUAAAUCCAUGUGCUCAACGCAUGGGCUGCCGAAAAUACUGCAUAGCUAGGGAGUGGGAGAGGUAGACGGUACUCGGUAGGAAGGGGUAAAAUCCUUUGAUCUAUCGAUGACCACCUGUGGCGAAGGCGGUCUACCAGAACACGUUCGACGGUGAGGGAUGAAAGCUGGGGGAGCAAACCGGAUUAGAUACCCGGGUAGUCCCAGCUGUAAACGAUGCAGACUCGAUGAUGCAUUGGCAUAUAGCCAGUGCAGUGUCGCAGGGAAGCCGUUAAGUCUGCCGCCUGGGAAGUACGUACGCAAGUAUGAAACUUAAAGGAAUUGGCGGGGGAGCA
This 792-nucleotide ribosomal RNA is filed under the name uncultured crenarchaeote. RNAcentral describes it as "bacterial SSU rRNA". It matches the Rfam family "Archaeal small subunit ribosomal RNA", at positions 85 to 878 of the family's 1478-position model. Lineage: Archaea; Thermoproteati; Thermoproteota. The record is from RNAcentral.